Molecule: ribosomal RNA, 495 nt
Filed under: uncultured Deferribacteres bacterium
Lineage: Bacteria; Pseudomonadati; Deferribacterota; Deferribacteres
Description: bacterial SSU rRNA
Rfam family: Bacterial small subunit ribosomal RNA
Source: RNAcentral
AGAGUUUGAUCCUGGCUCAGGACGAACGCUGGCGGCGUGCCUAACACAUGCAAGUCAGGGGGAAAGCUGGCUUCGGCCAGUGAGUACACCGGCGGACGGGUGAGUAACGCGUGAGCAACCUACCCCGCAGACCGGGAUAACCCAUCGAAAGGUGGGCUAAUACUGGAUGAGCGCACGUGCUGCAUGGCAUGUGUGAAAAGGCAGGCAUUAAGCUUGCGCUGCGGGAUGGGCUCGCGUCCCAUUAGCUAGUUGGUGAGGUAACGGCUCACCAAGGCUACGAUGGGUAGCCGGCCUGAGAGGGUGGUCGGCCACAUUGGGACUGAGACACGGCCCAGACUCCUACGGGAGGCAGCAGUGGGGAAUAUUGCGCAAUGCCGGAAACGGUGACGCAGCGACGCCGCGUGGGCGAGGAAGGCCUUCGGGUUGUAAAGCCCUUUCAGUGGGGAAGAAAGGUCCAGGCAGUAACUGGUUUGGAUUUGACGGUACCCACAGAAG